GUGCACGCUGGCGGUAGGCCUAACACAUGCCAGUCGAACGGCAGCACAGUAAGAGCUUGCUCUUACGGGUGGCGAGUGGCGGACGGGUGAGGAAUACAUCGGAAUCUACUUUUUCGUGGGGGAUAACGUAGGGAAACUUACGCUAAUACCGCAUACGACCUACGGGUGAAAGCAGGGGAUCUUCGGACCUUGCGCGAUUGAAUGAGCCGAUGUCGGAUUAGCUAGUUGGCGGGGUAAAGGCCCACCAAGGCGACGAUCCGUAGCUGGUCUGAGAGGAUGAUCAGCCACACUGGAACUGAGACACGGUCCAGACUCCUACGGGAGGCAGCAGUGGGGAAUAUUGGACAAUGGGCGCAAGCCUGAUCCAGCCAUACCGCGUGGGUGAAGAGGGCCUUCGGGUUGUAAAGCCCUUUUGUUGGGAAAGAAAAGCAGCAGGUUAAUACCCCGCUGUUCUGACGGUACCCAAAGAAUAAGCACCGGCUAACUUCGUG
RNAcentral lists this ribosomal RNA (491 nucleotides) under uncultured bacterium. RNAcentral's name for it is "partial 16S ribosomal RNA". It matches the Rfam family "Bacterial small subunit ribosomal RNA", at positions 29 to 507 of the family's 1533-position model. The record is from RNAcentral.